CGCGCAAAUUACCCACUCUCAGAACGAGGAGGUAGUGACGAAAAUAACGAGACAGUUCUCUAUGAGGUCUGUCAUCGGAAUGGGUACAAUUUAAACCCUUUAACGAGGAUCUAUUGGAGGGCAAGUCUGGUGC
This 133-nucleotide ribosomal RNA is filed under the name uncultured bacterium. Its description in RNAcentral is "partial 16S ribosomal RNA". It matches the Rfam family "Eukaryotic small subunit ribosomal RNA", at positions 433 to 567 of the family's 1831-position model. The record is from RNAcentral.